Molecule: ribosomal RNA, 483 nt
Filed under: uncultured bacterium
Lineage: Bacteria
Description: partial 16S ribosomal RNA
Rfam family: Bacterial small subunit ribosomal RNA
Source: RNAcentral
UUGAACGCUGGCGGCAGGCCUAACACAUGCAAGUCGAGCGGAUGAAGGGAGCUUGCUCCUGGAUUCAGCGGCGGACGGGUGAGUAAUGCCUAGGAAUCUGCCUGGUAGUGGGGGAUAGCGUCCGGAAACGGGCGCUAAUACCGCAUACGUCCUGAGGGAGAAAGUGGGGGAUCUUCGGACCUCACGCUAUCAGAUGAGCCUAGGUCGGAUUAGCUAGUUGGUGGGGUAAAGGCCUACCAAGGCGACGAUCCGUAACUGGUCUGAGAGGAUGAUCAGUCACACUGGAACUGAGACACGGUCCAGACUCCUACGGGAGGCAGCAGUGGGGAAUAUUGGACAAUGGGCGAAAGCCUGAUCCAGCCAUGCCGCGUGUGUGAAGAAGGUCUUCGGAUCGUAAAGCACUUUAAGUUGGGAGGAAGGGCAGUAAGUUAAUACCUUGCUGUUUUGACGUUACCAACAGAAUAAGCACCGGCUAACUUCGUG